This 821-nucleotide ribosomal RNA is filed under the name Russula sp. RNAcentral's name for it is "eukaryotic LSU rRNA". The stretch from base 240 to 393 matches the Rfam family "5.8S ribosomal RNA". The record is from RNAcentral. Lineage: Eukaryota; Fungi; Basidiomycota; Agaricomycetes; Russulales; Russulaceae.
AGGAAGUAAAAGUCGUAACAAGGUUUCCGUAGGUGAACCUGCGGAAGGAUCAUUAUUGUAUAACGGAGGCACCUAGGGCUGUCGCUGGCCUUUCAAAGGUCGUGCACGCUCAAAGUGGUCUCUUACAUCCAUCUAACCCAUUGUGCAUCACCGCGUGGGGCCCCCUAUUGGGGGUUUUGCGUUUUUAUAACAAACACCAUUUUAAUGAAUGUAUAGAAUGUCUUUUUUAAUAUCAAUAUAACUUUCAACAACGGAUCUCUUGGCUCUCGCAUCGAUGAAGAACGCAGCGAAAUGCGAUACGUAAUGUGAAUUGCAGAAUUCAGUGAAUCAUCGAAUCUUUGAACGCACCUUGCGCCUCUUGGUAUUCCGAGAGGCACACCCGUUUGAGUGUCGUGAACACCCUCAACCUUCUUGGUUUUUUGACCAGAAAGGCUUGGACUUUGGAGGUUCUCCUUGCCGGCUUUCAUCUAAAGUUGGCUCCUCCUAAAUGAAUUAGUGGGAUCUGCUUUGCUGAUCCUUGACGUGAUAAUUAUCCUUCUACGUCUUGGUUUCUUUUUGCAAUGUCACCCGCUUCAAACUGUUUUCAAAUUGAAGACAAUGUUUGAGCUGCCUCGUAAGUCGUGGCUCAACCUCAUUGACCUUGACCUCAAAUCGGGUGAGACUACCCGCUGAACUUAAGCAUAUCAAUAAGCGGAGGAAAAGAAACUAACAAGGAUUCCCCUAGUAACUGCGAGUGAAGCGGGAAAAGCUCAAAUUUAAAAUCUGGUGGUCUUUGACCAUCCGAGUUGUAAUUUAGAGAAGCGUCUUCCGCGCUGGACCGU